This 433-nucleotide ribosomal RNA is filed under the name uncultured bacterium. RNAcentral's name for it is "partial 16S ribosomal RNA". It matches the Rfam family "Bacterial small subunit ribosomal RNA", at positions 29 to 507 of the family's 1533-position model. The record is from RNAcentral.
AACGAACGCUGGCGGCAGGCCUAACACAUGCAAGUCGAGCGAACACUUCGGAUCUAGCGGCGGACGGGUGAGUAACGCGUGGGAAUGUGCCCUUCUCUACGGAAUAGCCCUGGGAAACUGGGAGUAAUACCGAAUACGCCCUACUGGGGAAAGAUUUAUCGGCGUUGGAGCAGCCCGCGUUUGAUUAGGUAGUUGGUGGGGUAAUGGCCCACCAAGGCGACGAUCAGUAGCUGGUCUGAGAGGAUGAUCAGCCACACUGGGACUGAGACACGGCCCAGACUCCUACGGGAGGCAGCAGUGGGGAAUCUUACGCAAUGGGCGCAACCCUGACGCAGCCAUGCCGCGUGAAUGAUGAAGGUCUUAGGAUUGUAAAGCUCUUUCACCGGGGAAGAUAAUGACGGUACCCGCAGAAGAAGCCCCGGCUAACUUCGUG